CGGCACGCCUUAUACAUGCAAGUCGAACGCAGUAGCAAUACUGAGUGGCAGACGGGUGAGUAUAAUGUGGGAAUCUGCCUUUUGGUUUGGAAUAACUUGGGGAAACUUGAGCUAAUACCGGAUAAGCCCUUACGGGGAAAGAUUUAUCGCCGAAAGAUGAGCCCGCACUUGAUUAGCUUGUUGGUGAGGUAAAAGCUCACCAAGGCAACGAUCAAUAGCUGUUCUUAGAGGAAGACCAGCCACAUUGGGACUGAGACACGGCCCAGACUCCUACGGGAGGCAGCAGUAGGGAAUCUUGCACAAUGGGGGAAACCCUGAUGCAGCGAUGCCGCGUGAGUGAAGAAGGCCUUUGGGUUGUAAAACUCUUUCGUCGGGGAAGAAAAUGACUGUACCCGAAUAAGAAGGUCCGGCUAACUUCGUGCCAGCAGCCGCGGUAAUACGAAGGGACCUAGCGUAGUUCGGAAUUACUGGGCUUAAAGAGCUCGUAGGUGGUUAAAAAAGUUGGUGGUGAAAUCCCAAGGCUUAACCUUGGAACUGCCAUCAAAACUUUUUAGCUAGAGUGUGAUAGAGGAAAGUGGAAUUUCUAGUGUAGAGGUGAAAUUCGUAGAUAUUAGAAAGAACACCAAAAGCGAAGGCAACUUUCUGGAUCAUUACUGACACUGAGGAGCGAAAGCAUGGGUAGCGAAGAGGAUUAGAUACCCUCGUAGUCCAUGCUGUAAACGAUGUGUGCUAGACGUUGGAAAUUUAUUUUCAGUGUCGCAGCGAAAGCGUUAAGCACACCGCCUGGGGAGUACGACCGCAAGGUUAAAACUCAAAAUGAAUUGACGGGGACCCGCACAAGCAGUGGAGCAUGUGGUUUAAUUCGAAGAUACGCGCAGAACCUUACCAACUCUUGACAUGUCCGUCGCGACUCGUAGAGAUAUGAGUCUUCGGUUCGGCCGGACGGAACACAGGUGCUGCAUGGCUGUCGUCAGCUCGUGUCGUGAGAUGUUGGGUUAAGUCCCGCAACGAGCGCAACCCCUACGUUUAGUUACUAACAUUUAGUUGAGUACUCUAGACGAACUGCCAGUGAUAAGCUGGAGGAAGGCGGGGAUGACGUCAAGUCCUCAUGGCCCUUACGUGUUGGGCUACACACGUGCUACAAUGGCACUUACAAUGAGAUGCGAAGAGGCGACUCUAAGCCAAUCCCAAAAAUGUGCCUCAGUUCGGAUUGUACUCUGCAACUCGAGUACAUGAAGCUGGAAUUGCUAGUAAUCGCGGAUCAGCGCGCCGCGGUGAAUACGUUCCCGGGUCUUGUACACACCGCCCGUCACACCAUGGAAGUUGGUUACACCUUAAGGCAAAGCUUAAAACCUUUGACUACGGUACGAUCAGCGACUGGGGUGAAGUCGUAACAAGGUAGCCGUAGGGGAACCUGCGGCUGGAUCACCUCCU
Molecule: ribosomal RNA, 1434 nt
Filed under: uncultured bacterium
Lineage: Bacteria
Description: bacterial SSU rRNA
Rfam family: Bacterial small subunit ribosomal RNA
Source: RNAcentral